UGGCUACCAACAGUUUAUGCCUACCCAUU
This 29-nucleotide non-coding RNA is filed under the name Mus musculus (house mouse). Lineage: Eukaryota; Metazoa; Chordata; Mammalia; Rodentia; Muridae. The record is from RNAcentral.